Molecule: unclassified non-coding RNA, 215 nt
Filed under: soil metagenome
Description: partial contains 5.8S ribosomal RNA, internal transcribed spacer 2, and large subunit ribosomal RNA
Source: RNAcentral
AACCUAGCACACCUGCGGUGUGUACCUGCGGAAGGAUCAUUACAUGAUUUAACAGGGAGUGGAGGCUUCGGCCAAAGCUCUGUCUGAACCCAUGUCUUUUGCGUACUUCUUGUUUCCUCGGUGGGCUUGCCCACCGAUAGGACAACCUUAAACUCUUUGCAAUUGCAAUCAGCGUCUGAAAAACUAUAAUAGUUACAACUUUUAACAACGGAUCU